GGAAAGAUGAAAAGAACUUUGAAAAGAGUGUUAAACAGUAUGUGAAAUCGUUAAAAGGGAACCGUUUGGAGCCAGACCGGCUUGUCUGUAAUCAAUCUAGGCUUCGGCCUGGAUGCACUUGCAGGCUAUGCCUGCCAACGACAAUUUGACUUGAGGGAAAAAACUAAGGGAAAUGUGGCCCACUUGUGGGUGUUAUAGUCCCUUAGAAAAUACCUUGGGUUGGAUUGAGGAACGCAGCGAAUGCUUUUUGGCGAGUUUUCCAGGAAGGUUUUCUGAGGUACUACGGUAUCAAGGUUGAUCUUUUUGGUUAUACUUCUAUUCGCUUAGGUUGUUGGCUUAAUGACUCUAAAUGACCCGUCUUGAAACACGGACCA
This 374-nucleotide ribosomal RNA is filed under the name Entrophospora infrequens. RNAcentral describes it as "LSU rRNA". It matches the Rfam family "Eukaryotic large subunit ribosomal RNA", at positions 358 to 668 of the family's 3401-position model. Lineage: Eukaryota; Fungi; Glomeromycota; Glomeromycetes; Entrophosporales; Entrophosporaceae. The record is from RNAcentral.